GUAAACAUUUCAAAAUAAAAGCUCCAACAGAAAGAUUAUCUAUCUAUCUAUAUCUGUCUGUCUUGCUCAUAGACUGUAUACAGAAUGGACACUGUCUGCCUCCUCGCUGGGUGGAGCCACUGUGAGAACAGCACCCUCUGGUGACGGGCUGCAGUAUAGGUCAUAAAUCCCGCCUCCUCUAGCAAUCCUUGUGGAGUUGUGGACAAACUUGAGAAAUAAAUUACACAGAACGCACAUUUUUCUUCCCCCUGCUUGCGAUGUUGACAUGUAGUUACUGUUAGACUGGUUUGUGCUCAAGUCCUCUUUUUUUCUGUACAGCUCCAUUUUUAAAAGAUAUUAGAGGGUUCGUGUUUUCUAUGAUUGACACUUGAUACAGCCUUGGUACAGAUCACAGCGACUCUCUGCGACUCUCCCGCUGAAUGCGUACAACGCUACUGCGCAAUGUUGGUUUCAGGAAGUGGAGAAAAAAUGUAGAAUCACCAAGAGCUUACUGGGUUCAAAUCCAUAUACUGGCGGAAGGUGGAAACAAGUUGCCCAUAGUGUAUACAGUCUAUGGUCUAGCUAUCAAAAGAAUUCUGUUACAUGGGCUUUUAUUUUGAAAUGUUUACUUUUACAUGUGACUAUCACUUUUACUUACAGAUUCCAUGUUUUCUCAGAGGUUGGAUUACUACACAUACCCUUAUACAUCACCUGAAAAGCCCCUUGAAUCUAACUUACCCAAAACUCAGAGCAACUUCAGUAUGGCACAAUCCAAGAUGGCUGACCCUUUAUCAACAGUAAAAGUUUUUGUUCUUUUAAUCGUGUUUAUUGGCAACCUGGUUUACAGUUAAAUCAGUACAGCAAUGGUAUUGAGCAAGGUCUGCCUGUAAAUGCAUACAAAGACAUAUGAAGCUGCUAUUGUGCUGACUGUUAUUAGCUAUUAGCUAAAAAUGCUAGCAAGAACAGGGGCUAAUUUAAGCCUUUUAUGGUAGGAGACAUUAAAUGAACCAUUAUUUUAAAAUAAAAUACAACUGUCUUGUUGCCCUUUAAUAUCUGACACCACAAAUUAUGGCUAAAAAAUUCAAAAAAAAUUUGAAGCUGAAAUGUUUAUUUCACUUACUGCUGAAAACAAAAAAAAAUCAAAAUGUCCUUAAAAUUUAACAAACAUAUAUUUAUCUUAGAUGUUUUUGGAAAAUGAGAACGUGCAAGAGGACAUUUUUAUCAUUUAUUGGACUGUAUUCAGGUGUAUUUUCAGUAAUUUGUUGAUCAUAUUGAAGUGAUAGAAGUAUGUAAAAGUAUGUAUCAAAUAUGAUACAAAAGGCAUUAAAGGGUUAAAACUGUUUAAAAGGGUUUAUUCUUUUUAAACCAAAAAAGGAGAUGUUGAAAAAUGGUUGUGUACUACAGUUGUCUCUUUUAUCAUUUAUGUUGGAAAAACAAACAAAAAGCCACUUCCUUGUAUAUUUUUUUCCCAGCAUGAAAUCACAUGGUCACACCCUCUCACUCAAAAAUUUUUAUACUUUGUACUUAAGUUGGAGAGUUUGUCAUGCAACUUCAGAGGUUUUUGUGCCAAACUAGAAAUAUCUGUCUUAAUGGCAACACGUUGGAUCAUAUUACUGGGAUUUUAUGGGGCUCUCCUACUUUAUUUAUAGCACUUCACUCAAAAUAAUGUCAUCUGACCUGAUGAAUAUAGAGGCUAGACUAUUUAUAGAUCGCUUUUCUUCCAUUUAUGCUUUUUAUGACAUUUUAAGACCUUGCAACAAAUCCGUAACUGUGUAAAUCCUGCAUGUUGUCACACAGAUAACUCGGUCUUUUAUUGGAUCCCACCACUUGUUGACAGCAUUUCCUCCAGAUCACACUGUUUCUCAUUGGUUUUGGAUCAUGGGGAUAUGUUUUUUUUCUCUCUCUCAUGGUUUUGCACUGCUGGCAGCAGGCGCACAAAAGCACAUGAGUCGCUGUCAUUGCGCGCAACGUUUGCGGACGGCAGAGAGAUCUUGUGAGUACUUGUUGCGAGAGCCAUACGGGCGAAGGCGGCAGCAGCAGCAGCGUCCCGGAGCUGUCAAAUGUUGCGCACAGCCUUCAGUCACCAGUCAGUGGAGUAAGCAGACUAAUCCAUCAGACAAACAACUCGGGGGAUUAACCUUUUUUAGCCUCGCGAAAGUAGUUUUCGCCUCCGCACCCGGAAGCUUGCUUUUAAAAUCAUUAUUAAUUUGUCACAUGGCUUUGGAGAAUUCAAUAACAACAAAAAAUGGCGACAAUCACGUUGCUCUGUGUGGUCUUGCUGCGUCAUUAAAAAUAUUCAUGUAAACACGGGGAAUCGGACGAGGAAAUUGCAGGUAGGUGAGACAAAUUAUUCCUCCUAAAAUCAACGCAGACUGAUGGUGAAUAACAGAUGAAUUAUUUGACUUGAAAUGUACAGCAUGCUGUUUGUUUUUGCUUGGAAAAGGGGUGUGUAUGCAAUGCUGGGCGUUAACGUUUGGCUGCACAAUAUUCAGUACGAACAUUGCACUUAUAUCUUGUCAUAAGUCGCUUUUUGAAGGGCAUGUGCAGCUUUCCCAACGCAGGUAUGCAUGGUUUUAUGUAAUGCCAUAAAUUACGCGGUAGUGUACGUUUUGGCAACUUUUAUUGGCAGCAACUCGCCGUGGCACAGCUAAUUUCAGUUUAGCAGUCAUGUUUAUUUGCUUUAGCUUUAGUAUUGAUCUGUAUUAGAGCAUGUUAUCCUCCCCUUUAGUGGCUUCUUGUUCUUUACAAUGAGGAUUUAUGUAAUGUGGACGUGCUUUUCUUCACAGACACUCAUGACAACAAACGCAGCGUACAGCCCCGACGUCGUGUUUAUCCCCUGCCCUUUUUUUUAGUUAUUGCACAUGUUGCUUUUUUGCUUUUUCACGUCCGACACGAACAUUUCUUGGCUGGAGAGCCGUGCGCGGCGGGGCUAAUGGAGUUGUUUACAUGAAGUGCGGAGGGCGGACGGACUGACGAGGAGGUGGAGCCGCUACGUCGGCCACAGACGCCACCGGACUGCUCGAGAGAGAAAGAGGCUUCUCGCGGCCGAGGUGGGCGGAGCCCGCGAGGAGAAUCAUAACAAGUCUGACGUCAGCUGGCCUUGUGGUUGGUAUGAAUAAUAUAGAGUGGAGUUGGUGUCUGUGCUGAGUCCGAGCAGAGACGAGGAGGUUUUUAAGGGGAAAAUGCCUGUGAUUGUUUCAUGAGAUGAAAUAUUAACCAGAACACUGUGUGGGGACAGAAUAAAAAUAAAGGAACCAUAUUAAAAUGUGUUUGAAAUGGGAUGGCAGAGUACUCCAUUAUGGAUGAAUAGAAGAAAAUGGGUUUAUCCUUAUGUCCCGAAUAUUAGAAAUGUUAAUCCAAUUCAAUUGUAUCCAGGUAACAUUGCAUCUACCCAUUAGUGCAAGUUUCAGUGUACUAUUGACAAGGGUUGUUAUGAUUAUCGGAAGUUCAUGAGCUUAAUAAAUGAUAUGCAUUUACAGUAAAAAGUAAAAACUUAAUGUCAAGAUCUACAAUUUGAAAUAUAAACAAAACCCAAAACUUAUUGUAAUGCCUGAACCAAAUGUUUGAUCAAAGCGGCAACUUUCAACAUCAAACCCAGGAGUAAAUAGUUAACCAGUAAUACUAACAGCACCUCUGCAGACCAGCCAAGUAGAGUAAAAUCAGUUAAAACCAGUAUAAAACCAGUAUAAAAAGUGCAAUAAAUGCAGUAGUGCUAGCAGUGCAGUAUGUAUAUAGUGCUUAGGUGCACAGGUCGUCGACUCUUUUCAUACACAACCAUGUAGCACAAAGUGGUUUACACAGAAAAAGGAAUAAAAGAAACAAAGAAUACCCAAAUCUACCCCAGCCCAACCCCUUAUUCCCACCCCACAAUCUAAAUGCAACAGAAACAGUAUUAAAAUGCAUAAACUUAUAAAGGGCUUGAUUUCGUGGAAACAUGAUGUUUGCACUGAGGGAACUUCACUUUAAAACUCAAGAUAAGGAAACACUGGAGGUUUAGGUUAAAAUCUGAAAACAAAGUAACAUAGAAUGAAAUUUAAGAAAAAAUAAGAUAAAAUAAGAGCACUAAAAUAGCUCAAUAAAAGACGAUCCUAUCUUUAAAACUAGAAGAGAUAAAUGCUAAAACACUUAAAGUUAAAAGCAAGACUAAAAAGGUAUGUUUUCAGUUUGCUUUUAAGAUCAUUAUUAUAAAGACAGUUAUGUUUACACUCAUUCUGUUGGUUUGCAGGGAUACACAACAUCUUAAAAUAUAUGCAGAUACACUAGUUAGACUCAAAACUAUGAUUGCCUUGAUGUAGUGAUCCGAAAUAUGAAAAACAGCUAAAUGAUAUGCAUUUUCAGUAAAAGUACAAACCUUAUGUCAAAAUCUACAGUUUAAAAUAUUAUAAACACGACCCAAAACUUAUUGUAAUGCCUGAACCAAAUGUUUGAUUAAAGCGGCAACUUCCAACAUCAAACCCAGGAGUAAAUAGUUAACCAGUAAUACUAACAGCACAGCCAAUCAAAUGGUGUUGUAAGGGGGGACAUAAGGUGAACUCGAGUGAAGACACACCUGCACUGGAGCUGUGCUUUUUCACUUAUAUAAUAUUAUCAGUGAUUAGUAAAAUGCCAAUACAGAUAACUGGUCUAAUGCUAAUGUUGGCUCCAGUUUUGAUUUAGGCUGAUAAUUGGUCAUAUAGAUAAAUAAAACCAUUAAAACCAUUUGGUGGUGCAUUUAGCUAAAUGUAACUUAAAUCAAACAAAUAAAUAAAUGAACCUGUUCGAAGUAAAUGUUCUAUUUUCUGUGCAAUUGACUCCACUGUUGCUUAAAAAUAGAGUUAAAACUAAAGUUUUAUUUAAUCUAACACAGACAUCAUUGUGUUGCCCUGUUUAAAUACAGUUCACCUUGGUUUAUGGUUGCAGCUUUUCACACUAAUGCUCUUCUUUUGAAUUUGUUAGCGUUAGAAAAUGUCAUGGUAUAAAAAAUGUUUGAAUCCUGUUGGUAGAAGGGAAAGACUUUCUGCUUGUGUAGAGAGAUUUUUUAAAUAGUUUUUAAUGUUAGGCGACAUGCCCAUUACUCUUUGGAGUCAUGUGCUACAAUAUCAGCAACAGCAUGUUUCUUGAAAAAUGUCUUCACGGUAAAUGUUAAAUGCAAGUGAUAAAUCUUGUGGAAAUGAAGAUGUCACUGUAUGAACGGUAAAAAUGCAUGAAGAAAGCAUGAUUUUUGCAGCUGCUGCAGUGGAGCAUGAAUAUUGUGAAUGGAUGGUUGAAGGAGAGAAGCCCCGGUCUGCUAGAUUUGACAGGCUGCCCUGGUUCAGUUAUCACAGUGCUGAUGCUGUCCCCAUCGAAGGUACAGUACUGUGAUAACUGAAGGAUGGCUGCCAACUUGACACGAGUGCAGAAUUAGAUCACAUCCUGAGGAACAAGGAGAAGAAAGACAUUGCUGUGUGUUAAUUUAAUGUGAUAUCCAAAAUCCAAAUAUUUAUAUUCACAACAAAGUUAUCUUGAACUGAAUUGCUGCACAAGUGAUCCUUGGGACCAUUUUUUGGAAACCUGUCAGUCAUUUUUUAAUGUCAGUCUUGCUGUGUGAAGUGAAAUAAAAAGAUUGAGUUGUAUUUGAA
Non-coding RNA from Xyrichtys novacula (pearly razorfish), 5576 nucleotides. The record is from the annotation of a GenBank genome assembly. NCBI's taxonomy places the organism in Eukaryota, Metazoa, Chordata, Actinopteri, Labriformes, Labridae.